GACGAACGCUGGCGGCGUGCUUAAUACGUGCAAGUCAACUGAACUUGAGGUAGUAAUAUUUCAAGGGAGGUGGCGCACGGGUGAGUAACACGUAGGUAAUCUGCCUUUAGGUCUGACAUAAUCCCGCGAAAGCGGGACUAAAAUCAGAUGAUGCAGCGGCUCGACAUCGAGACAGUUGUUAAACCUUCGGGGCCUAAAGAUGAGCCUGCGUCUGAUUAGGUAGUUGGCGGAGUAAAAGCCCACCAAGCCUGCGAUCAGUAGCUGGUCUGAGAGGACGACCAGCCACACGGGGACUGAGACACGGCCCCGACUCCUACGGGAGGCAGCAGUGGGGAAUUUUCCGCAAUGGGCGAAAGCCUGACGGAGUGACGCCGCGUGUGGGAUGAAGGCCU
This 392-nucleotide ribosomal RNA is filed under the name uncultured bacterium. Its description in RNAcentral is "bacterial SSU rRNA". It matches the Rfam family "Bacterial small subunit ribosomal RNA", at positions 28 to 417 of the family's 1533-position model. The record is from RNAcentral.